RNAcentral lists this ribosomal RNA (259 nucleotides) under uncultured bacterium. RNAcentral describes it as "partial small subunit ribosomal RNA". It matches the Rfam family "Bacterial small subunit ribosomal RNA", at positions 26 to 285 of the family's 1533-position model. The record is from RNAcentral.
AGGACGAACGCUGGCGGCGUGCUUAACACAUGCAAGUCGAGCGGUAAGGCCCUUUCGGGGGUACACGAGCGGCGAACGGGUGAGUAACACGUGGGUGACCUGCCCUUAGCUCUGGGAUAAGGCCUGGGAAACUGGGUCUAAUACCGGAUAUGACCUCAUGACGCAUGUUGUGGGGUGGAAAGCCUUGUGCGGCUAGGGAUGGGCCCGCGGCCUAUCAGCUUGUUGGUGGGGUGAUGGCCUACCAAGGCGACGACGGGUA